This 356-nucleotide ribosomal RNA is filed under the name uncultured Acholeplasma sp. Its description in RNAcentral is "bacterial SSU rRNA". It matches the Rfam family "Bacterial small subunit ribosomal RNA", at positions 1025 to 1382 of the family's 1533-position model. The record is from RNAcentral. Lineage: Bacteria; Bacillati; Mycoplasmatota; Mollicutes; Acholeplasmatales; Acholeplasmataceae.
UCCGGGAGGACAGGUGGUGCAUGGUUGUCGUCAGCUCGUGUCGUGAGAUGUUGGGUUAAGUCCCGCAACGAGCGCAACCCUUAUUGCUAGUUACCAUCAUUGAGUUGGGGACUCUAGCGAGACUGCCAGCGAUAAGCUGGAGGAAGGUGGGGAUGACGUCAAAUCAUCAUGCCCCUUAUGACCUGGGCUACAAACGUGAUACAAUGGCUGGAACAAAGGGAGGCGAAGGGGUGACCUGGAGCGAAACCCAAAAAUACAGUCUCAGUUCGGAUUGAAGUCUGCAACUCGACUUCAUGAAGUCGGAAUCGCUAGUAAUCGCGGAUCAGAACGCCGCGGUGAAUACGUUCUCGGGGUUU